CUAAACCAGCUAUAAAUAAGCGAUAGUAUGCGGACCACAGGCACACCACUUACUCCUUAGUGCUAUAUGCACCAUCUCACCAGGGGUGCACACCUCCUUCUAUCCAGGCUACCGACUGCGGCAUAGUGUCUGACGAAGGCCUAUGUGCCGAAAACGUUCACACACGAAAUUGCCACAUGUCUAUCUGAUUGAUGCA
Long non-coding RNA from Bufo bufo (common toad), 196 nucleotides. RefSeq lists it as uncharacterized. The transcript is spliced from 2 exons. NCBI's taxonomy places the organism in Eukaryota, Metazoa, Chordata, Amphibia, Anura, Bufonidae. The record is from RefSeq and is a predicted model, not a curated record.